This 286-nucleotide unclassified non-coding RNA is filed under the name Hevea brasiliensis (rubber tree). The record is from RNAcentral. Lineage: Eukaryota; Viridiplantae; Streptophyta; Magnoliopsida; Malpighiales; Euphorbiaceae.
GAUGGAUCUUCAGGAGAGAAAUGAGAGGCUAUUUUACAAGCUUCUUAUGGAAAAUGUGGAAGAGCUUCUCCCGGUAGUUUAUACUCCGACAGUAGGCGAAGCAUGCCAGAAGUAUGGUAGCAUCUUCAGACGACCUCAAGGACUUUUUAUCAGUUUGAAAGAAAAAGGCAAAAUUCUUGAGGUACUAAAGAAUUGGCCUGAGAAGAAAAUUCAAGUUAUUGUCGUAACUGAUGGAGAACGAAUAUUAGGCCUUGGAGACUUAGGUUGCCAGGGAAUGGGGAUACCA